Molecule: ribosomal RNA, 301 nt
Filed under: uncultured bacterium
Lineage: Bacteria
Description: partial 16S ribosomal RNA
Rfam family: Bacterial small subunit ribosomal RNA
Source: RNAcentral
CAGUAGCCGCGGUAACACGUAGGUGGCAAGCGUUGUCCGGAAUUAUUGGGCGUAAAGGGCUCGCAGGCGGUUUCUUAAGUCUGAUGUGAAAGCCCCCGGCUCAACCGGGGAGGGUCAUUGGAAACUGGGAAACUUGAGCGCAGAAGAGGAGAGUGGAAUUCCACGUGUAGCGGUGAAAUGCGUAGAGAUGUGGAGGAACACCAGUGGCGAAGGCGACUCUCUGGUCUGUAACUGACGCUGAGGAGCGAAAGCGUGGGGAGCGAACAGGAUUAGAGACCCCUGUAGUCCCUGUCUCUUAUAC